Molecule: ribosomal RNA, 467 nt
Filed under: uncultured bacterium
Lineage: Bacteria
Description: partial 16S ribosomal RNA
Rfam family: Bacterial small subunit ribosomal RNA
Source: RNAcentral
GACGAACGCUGGCGGCGUGCUUAACACAUGCAAGUCGAACGGAAAGGCCUCGUUUGGGGGGUCCUCGAGUGGCGAACGGGUGAGUAACACGUGAGUAACCUGCCCUUCACCUUGGGAUAACUUCAGGAAACUGGGGCUAAUACCGGACAGGAGCUCCUUCUGCAUGGUGGGGGCUGGAGAGUUUCGGCGGUUGGGGUUGGACUUGCGGCUUAUCAGCUGGCGGUUGGUGGAGUGGCUUACCAAGGCUUUGGCGAGGAGCCGGCGUGGGAGGGUGACCGGCCACAGUGGGACUGGGACUCGGCCAAGACUCCGACGGGAGGGAGAGGUAGGAGUGGGUGAUAAAGGGGUAGGAGCCUGAUGCAGCAACAGCGAUGGCGGGAUGACGGCCAAGGGGUUGGAAUCCGAAUUCGCUCAUGACGAAGCUUUGUGUGACGGUAGUGGGUAAAGAAGCACCGGCUAACUACGUG